Molecule: transfer RNA, 77 nt
Filed under: Rhodocyclaceae bacterium
Lineage: Bacteria; Pseudomonadati; Pseudomonadota; Betaproteobacteria; Rhodocyclales; Rhodocyclaceae
Description: tRNA-Val
Rfam family: tRNA
About the family: Transfer RNA (tRNA) molecules are approximately 80 nucleotides in length.
Source: RNAcentral
AGGCGCGUAGCGCAGCUGGUUAGAGCACCACCUUGACAUGGUGGGGGUCGUUGGUUCGAGUCCAAUCGCGCCUACCA